GGGUCCAUGAAUCGACUCAUCAAGUGAUUCUAUAAAGUUAAGAAUCUGUUGGAGUAACUGCCAAUGAGUCACGAACCAAAAGAAGUUCUUGGGCACCUUUAAUGAUGACUGUUGUUGUCAAUGUUGAUGAAAAAAAGCAAUAAAGCAGAAGGAUGUCCCUGAAGAGUGAGAAGAAACAGCCUCCACAAUUUAAAUGGAAUCAUUCUUUAUUUUCCUUCCCCAGUAAGCAACCUCAACAGCAUCUGCUUCUGCCUGCCAGAUGGCCAAGCCAGCUGAGAGCACACUCCUCUCUAUACUCUAGGCACCAGGUAAAUAUGUAGGUAGCCAAGCUUCUCUAGACAGUACUGAUGAAGACCAGCCCAUAGUCUUCCCAGGUCCUUUGGUUAAAAGGCAUUACCUGAUUGCCUGAGGUACCAGUGGUCUUUGCUUAGGAUGCCAAGCCUCCAAAAGGAAGGAGAUUGAUGCUGCCUUCCACCUCAGCCUACAGGUGAGAAUUCAGAUCAUUACUCGAGAGUCAGAUCAUAACCCUGUAGACAAGCUGCCUUUCUCCUAAAAUGACUUGAAAAGUAGGAAACAAGCCUUGAGUCCAGCAGUGGAAUGGUGUAGCCUUGACCUAACCUUUAGCUUCACGGUCUUGAAUCGCACAGCCUAACUUCGAAAUGUUGACUUGGUUGCAUUCGGCAAGAUUAACGACCCUGCCCAACUACUGUCUCCUCAGGAAGAUCCUUCCCCUCCUCCAUGUGCUCAUUAAUUCCCUUCUUCUUCCAUUAAUUAUUUAUGACUAAAUGAUGAAGUGCUGUCAUCAGAAAAGAUGUCCUUUAUUGGAAGCCAUGAUUGGGAGUCAUUUCAUUGUCUCUAUUUAUUCUCAAUUUAAGUAUCUGACUCACCAUUUAAGAUACAAAAGCUUAAAAAAGAAAAAAAGCAGGUUUUCUUUCCUUGGGAUAAGUUAUUGGGUAGUUCCAAGUGGGGUCCAGAAUCUUCUGUGAAAUUUUGGGAGCAAACUGGUCAUCAUGCAGCAAACAUGACGAAAAUACCCAUUAUGCUAAGUUCAUCCUUCACACUCUCUGAAUAUCAUUUAGUUCCAGCCCUCAGCACUCCCCCAGGAGGUCAGGUAACCAUUUGGAAUGGUUUCCUCUCACUAGAUGAUUAUGAAAUUCAUUAUUUGUAAUGUAUAUUUCUAGAUCAGGGGUUCUUAACUGGGAGUGUUAUUUCCCCCUUUUCCCAAGGGAAUAUUUGGCUCUUGCUGCACAUCUUACAAUGCACAUGGCAGCUCAAACAAAGAAUUAUCCAGCCCAAAAUGCCAAUGGUGUCAAGGUUGAAAAAGCCUUUUCUAGAUAGUCUCUCUUGCCUUCCUUGUUCAUAUUUGGUAUGGAAAGACUUUUUUACUCAUCAGCCUGCAGAGUUCCCAUAAAUCCUGAAAAAAAAAAAAUGACUCACCUAUAAAUAAAGGAGUGGGAAACUCUUUUGGUGGGAACUGAAUGUCACCACCCACAUUCUGUGAAGGAGAGGCAGAUCACUAUUCACUCUUCUAGGAAAAUGAAGUUGAAAUUUUCGCAAUUUACUUCUUUUUGGUUCACAUGCAAAUUAUAAUGCACUAAAAAUGGGAGACGCUGACAGGUUAAUUGCUCCCACUCCUCUGGUCCAGCUGCACAGAACUGAUGCUGAGGAAUCACAGAGCAAGAAAAAGUUGUCAGGGAGGGUCAGCCCACCCCAUGAAGCUGGGUGCAUCAGAGUCCCCUGAGUGUUGAGUUAGAACUACUGAUAAUCUAAGAUAUACUUCUCAUUUGCUGGUUUGAUUCCAGCUUUUUAAAGUAGUCUUUUAAGAAGAAGUUGGCACUGCUCUUACUCUUGUAUCUUUUCCCUUGUACUUCUUAAAAAUGAAAUAUAAAUGCAACAUAUGUUUCAGGCAAAUUGGCUCAGAACUCCGACAAGGUGAAAAGAACUCUCCUAGAGAGACAGUGCUCUAAAUAAAAACCAGCCCCAGCCCCCAAGCCUUCCUAGUUACACAAUUUUUGGUCCCCAAUCCAGGUUAAACCGCCACACAUUUAUCUUUGUCCUGAGUCCCUACCCCAUGACCAGAAACAUACUUAUCGUCCAGGCUACCAUUGUGUAUGUGUGUGUAUGUUUAGGCUAUUUAUAUAAUUCUGAUUAGAACAUUUUGUAUCCUUCUUGAGAUGAUGAGCUUUUCAAAUGCAAACUGUGAGUUUCUGAAUCAUCUCAAACUGCUUUUUCAAGCGCAGGGUUAUAUAUACAAUACUCAACACAUGUUAGUUGAUCAUUUUUAUUUCUGAGUGGAAGAGGAACUGGGAUGCUAUGUGCAUUAGCCAUACGCGUACUCUUCUUAAAGCACUUUUCUUCUCAUGAUUGAGUUUGAGCUAAUAUUGUAAUGAUAAGUUCUUGGAGCCAGAAAGAGAGGAGUCAGAGACGGCGGUCUGGGUUCCAGAUAGAUCCAGACAUGUGAACGGAAGGCACGAGAAGAUGAGCUGAGCAGAAGAGGAUUUACAGAAAGGAGCCAGGAGACCAGGAGACAAAACAGAGCAGAAGUUAAGUGGUAGGAAGAAGAGAAACCAUAAAACCUAUUCAAGCUUGCCAGCAGAAAAAGGAAUGUUCACAUGGCUUGGGGGUCUUCUGGAGACAAGAUGGCAGCAUAGAAGGACCUUGAGCUCACCUCCUCUCACAAGCUCACCUCCUCUCACGAGCACACCAAAGGAGCAACUGAUUCUAACAACCAUCAGUAGAAAAGACACAUGGCUUGGAGAUACAGGGUACUCUCAGGUGCUCUGGUCACUCUCCCGCUGUGGAGCCCAAAUCUAUGAUGUGUCUGAUACUAGGCUCUCAGUCAGUAUAGCUUGGAGGUAAAGCAGGAAGAGGUUAAGGAAAACAAUAGCCAUGAAACCAGACAGAACCAACUUCACUGGUUAUAUCACCUGCUAGUCAUGAUCUCAAACAAGUCACUUAAAUCUCCCCAAGCCCCAUGUCCUCAUCUUUAAAAUGGGGACUAUCAUAGUUAUGUAACAGGGUUGAGGUGACAUGUGUAACGAGCUGGGUGCAUUAGCUGAUGCACGUGGAGCACUUUAUCAUCACAUCACAGGGCACUCUAGGUUCUGGAGGCAAAAGGUAUCAGUAAUAACAGAAGCAAUAUUGGACUAUGAACUUUUUUUUUUCUUUUUUCUUUUUUUUUUGUCAUUUGUCUUUUUAGGGCCACACCCAUGGCACAUGGAGGUUCCCAGGCUAGGGGUCGAAUUGGAGCUAAACUAUAUUGAUUCUGAAAGAAAAAUAAAACUCUAAAUACAAAUAUACCUCACUCACCUCAUCAGUAGGAAAAUCUCUAGAUCUACACAUAAAAUCCAAAAUUUGAUAUUUUCUGUUGUCAUUACUGAAACAAAGAUGCAGAAGUGUGAGGAAGAGGGCUAAAUAUUUACAAGUUUCAAGGUGAUAAGUGCGUUUUUAUUUAUGGUAUCUGGAAAAUACAAUUCAGGUCACUGGAGAUGGUCAAUAUACGGCUACAACCCUCCUUUUCAGCUGUUCCCGCCUAACACCCAAGAGUAACAUUCUUAUUCUGAAACACAGCAGAAGUUGUCCAGGGAGCAGAUACAUUUUUCAAAAGCACACUUUGUAACGUGGCACUAAGAGGCACUUCGCACAACGUUCGCAGCUACCAUUCACCACUGUGUUUCCCUGCUGGGUUCACAGCAUGUGAAUGGUCAGUCCACGUUAUAAGGAUACCCAGGCUAACACCGGGAUUCAUGCUGGAGGAAGAGGGAGCCCAGAGAUGAAACCAGCAUGCGGGUUUCAUACCAGCCCUUCUACAAACCACAUAAUCCUAGACAAAUGCCUUAAUCUCGCCACCAUUCCUCUCCCCUCUGUGAAAGAAGGAAAACCACUCUACAUGGGUGCUGAAAUACCAGCUGUCAAAGUGAAGACAGUUCACUCUGUCGGUGGUUGUGGCCGCAUUAGCAUUCGCCACGGCUGGAGAACAAACAAGCAGUGGAUUCUGUGAAGGAAAUUUCCGCUGAGCCCUUGGUCGUCCAUGUCCCAGGAACACUAGAUACUUCCGCAGUGCAAAAAAUUGAAGAACAGAAUUUUUACCAACAUACCCUUGUGAUUUUAAUCAAACUACAUUACGAAGGCAAUUAUUAUCAGAGGAGAAUUAGAUUGGGAGAUAAAGUGAUUUUUUUCAGAUGGAAAUUUUAGGAAACAAAUCAAAAUUCCCAAUCACCUAGAGAACCCAGAGUCACCAAUAACAAAGGAAGAAGGUUAAACUCGUAACAUGUAGUUCUUCGAAGACCACUGAGCAAGAGCAAGGAAGUUUAAGGUGCUAACUCUAAGCCAUGAUUGCCUAUCACUGCUCUGUGCACUGAAGGGGUCCCAAAGAAAAGGCCCUGACCCCUGUCUUCAAGGAGCUGAGAAUUUUUUAAAAGGGGGCAAGAAAUCCAUCAACGAGCCAAGCGAAGACUGUACAUCGCAGACUCUUAGGCAUGACCAUUUCAGCCUUUCAGAAGAUACACUAGUGGUACAGGUUGAUGGGAAUCAUGUCUCACAGAGAAAAUGGAUUUUAAGUGACAAUGUGGCCACACAUUCGUCGAAUUAACAGAAAAUUUGUAAAGAGGUUAGUCAUGGCUGAAGUUCAACUGCUAACAGAAUCAUGGAGUAAUAAAGAGCUGUAGAUCUGGAGUUCCCGUCGUGGCGCAGUAGAAACGAAUCCGACCACAAACCAUGAGGUUGAGGGUUCGAUCCCUGGCCUUGCUCAUGGGUCGAGGAUCUGGCGUUGCUGUGAGCUGUGGUAUAGGCCACAGACACGGCUUGGAUUGGCUGUGGCUGUGGCUGUGGCAUAGGCCGGCGGCUACAGCUCUGAUUUGACCCCUAGCCUGGGAACC
Molecule: long non-coding RNA, 4877 nt
Filed under: Sus scrofa (pig)
Lineage: Eukaryota; Metazoa; Chordata; Mammalia; Artiodactyla; Suidae
Description: lncRNA (ENSSSCG00050031752.1)
Source: RNAcentral